UAAGGAAUAUUGGUCAAUGGGCGGAAGCCUGAACCAGCCAUGCCGCGUGCAGGAUGACUGCCCUAUGGGUUGUAAACUGCUUUUGUCCAGGAAUAAACCUAGAUACGUGUAUCUAGCUGAAUGUACUGGAAGAAUAAGGAUCGGCUAACUCCGUGCCAGCAGCCGCGGUAAUACGGAGGAUCCGAGCGUUAUCCGGAUUUAUUGGGUUUAAAGGGUGCGUAGGCGGCCUAUUAAGUCAGGGGUGAAAUACGGUGGCUCAACCAUCGCAGUGCCUUUGAUACUGAUGGGCUUGAAUCCAUUUGAAGUGGGCGGAAUAAGACAAGUAGCGGUGAAAUGCAUAGAUAUGUCUUAGAACUCCGAUUGCGAAGGCAGCUCACUAAGCUGGUAUUGACGCUGAUGCACGAAAGCGUGGGGAUCGAACAGGAUUAGAUACCCUGGUAGUCCACGCCCUAAACGAUGAUAACUCGAUGUUGGCGAUAGACAGCCAGCGUCCAAGCGAAAGCGUUAAGUUAUCCACCUGGGGAGUACGCCCGCAAGGGUGAAACUCAAAUGAAUUGACGGGG
Molecule: ribosomal RNA, 563 nt
Filed under: uncultured bacterium
Lineage: Bacteria
Description: partial 16S ribosomal RNA
Rfam family: Bacterial small subunit ribosomal RNA
Source: RNAcentral